UGCCUUGGCUCUCGGAGGCGAUGAAGGACGUGAUAAGCUGCGAUAAGCUUCGGGUAGGUGCAAAUGACCAUUGAUCCGA
Molecule: ribosomal RNA, 79 nt
Filed under: Bacteroides fragilis str. 3986 N(B)19
Lineage: Bacteria; Pseudomonadati; Bacteroidota; Bacteroidia; Bacteroidales; Bacteroidaceae
Description: partial 16S ribosomal RNA
Rfam family: Bacterial large subunit ribosomal RNA
Source: RNAcentral